ACCAACAGUGUCAGAGCCCUUGAUAAUGACAUUUGACCCCUCCUUGGAGAGCAUAGCAAAUUGUUUUCCUUUGAAGAAAUUGUUUCAUGCCUGGGCCCCCACUUUCUGCUCCUUCCUCCGGGAGCCAGGACUGCGUUAUCCACAGGUGGAGUCAUGGUCCAUGGUUUUCUGGAUGGUUUCUGGUUGAAAAGGCCACAGCAGUUAAGAACUGGAAUGACCUUUUAGAAUUUCAUGGUUCAAAUCUCUUGUUCAUGGGUGAUUAUAAAAGUCAUGGAUGUGAAUGGAGUACCCCCAGGGGCUGCUUAACAGCUCUGAGAGAUCCAGACAGCAAGUGCCCACCGGCUUUAGCCGAUCCUCUUCCCAGCCUCUCUAAAUCCAGUAUCCAGUCCCAGGUCUUCUGUUCUCAGAGUCCUGUCCUGUUUCCUCACUACGGGAGACCUCUGCCACUGUAGCAGCAGUGGAGAGAGCAGGCGCAGUUCCAGGACUUAAUCGCUGCUUCAGGAGCCCACCCCAAGCGGAGCGGCUGCCUGGCAAAGACCUCCCAUCCAAGUAACCUGUGCCUCCUCUUCGUUCACACAGAAGCAGCGAGGGCUGGAUCACCACUGCAGAGAUAACAGGCAGAAAACUGACCAGAGUGCUAACCAAGAGAAAUCAUCUCUUCUACUCCGCAUGAUGCCAUCUUUCAGGCCACCCGUUCUCAGGAUGAUCAGCACACACUGUGUCUCCCCCGGGUUUUCUGCUGCAGAUGGAGUAGAACUGUGCUACAUGGGAAAACAACACUGCCUGCUCCCUGGCGUUUCUGGACUAUUAGGCUCCAGCUGCAGAGACUCUUUAGCAAGUGUUGCCUCCACCAGCUUAAAUUUUCAGGUGAGUUGGUCAAACAUCAACUGAAGAAAAUCAAGACAGGCAUCUUGGUACAAUGCCUACAAUCUCAGAAUUGAGGAGACUAAGGUAGGGUGGUUGUUGAGUUUGGGGCUAACCUGUACAACUUAGUAAGAGAUUGUCCAU
Mus musculus (house mouse) is the source of this 1008-nucleotide long non-coding RNA. RefSeq annotates it as predicted gene, 53520. The transcript is spliced from 4 exons. The record is from RefSeq and is a predicted model, not a curated record. Lineage: Eukaryota; Metazoa; Chordata; Mammalia; Rodentia; Muridae.